RNAcentral lists this transfer RNA (73 nucleotides) under Cordylochernes scorpioides. RNAcentral describes it as "tRNA-Thr". Lineage: Eukaryota; Metazoa; Arthropoda; Arachnida; Pseudoscorpiones; Chernetidae. The record is from RNAcentral.
UUCCAGGGAAGGGAAUCGAACCCACAGUGUUCCGCUUACCGGGCAGAUGCCAUGUCCACUAGGCUACCCUGGA